This 166-nucleotide unclassified non-coding RNA is filed under the name uncultured Cortinarius. RNAcentral describes it as "sequence contains ITS1". Lineage: Eukaryota; Fungi; Basidiomycota; Agaricomycetes; Agaricales; Cortinariaceae. The record is from RNAcentral.
UUGAAAUAAACCUGAUGGGUUGUUGCUGGUUCUCUUGGGAGCAUGUGCACACCUUGUCAUCUUUAUAUCUCCACCUGUGCACCCUUUGUAGACCUUCCCAGGUCUAUGUUGCUUUUUCAUUUACCCCAAUGUAUGUUAAUAGAAUGUUGUGCCUAUAAAAUCUAUA